CAGUCCGAACGCAUCCUUUCGGGAUGAGUGGCAGACGGGUGAGUAACGCGUGGGAACGUGCCCUUCAGUUCGGAAUAACCCAGGGAAACUUGGGCUAAUACCGGAUACGUGCGAGAGCAGAAAGAUUUAUCGCUGAAGGAUCGGCCCGCGUCUGAUUAGCUAGUUGGUGGGGUAAUGGCCCACCAAGGCGACGAUCAGUAGCUGGUCUGAGAGGAUGAUCAGCCACAUUGGGACUGAGACACGGCCCAAACUCCUACGGGAGGCAGCAGUGGGGAAUAUUGGACAAUGGGCGCAAGCCUGAUCCAGCCAUGCCGCGUGAGUGAUGAAGGCCUUAGGGUUGUAAAGCUCUUUCAGUGGGGACGAUAAUGACGGUACCCGCAGAAGAAGCCCCGGCUAACUUCGUGCCAGCAGCCGCGGUAAUACGAAGGGGGCUAGCGUUGUUCGGAAUCACUGGGCGUAAAGGGCGCGUAGGCGGCUUUGUAAGUCGGGGGUGAAAGCCUGUGGCUCAACCACAGAAUUGCCUUCGAUACUGCAUGGCUUGAGACCGGAAGAGGUUAGUGGAACUGCGAGUGUAGAGGUGAAAUUCGUAGAUAUUCGCAAGAACACCAGUGGCGAAGGCGGCUGACUGGUCCGGUUCUGACGCUGAGGCGCGAAAGCGUGGGGAGCAAACAGGAUUAGAUACCCUGGUAGUCCACGCCG
This 699-nucleotide ribosomal RNA is filed under the name Microvirga sp. RNAcentral's name for it is "bacterial SSU rRNA". It matches the Rfam family "Bacterial small subunit ribosomal RNA", at positions 58 to 802 of the family's 1533-position model. The record is from RNAcentral. Lineage: Bacteria; Pseudomonadati; Pseudomonadota; Alphaproteobacteria; Hyphomicrobiales; Methylobacteriaceae.